This 23-nucleotide transfer RNA is filed under the name Planigale kendricki. RNAcentral describes it as "partial tRNA-Pro". The record is from RNAcentral. Lineage: Eukaryota; Metazoa; Chordata; Mammalia; Dasyuromorphia; Dasyuridae.
CAGGAAGUAGUUUAAUAAGAAUA